GACGAACGUUGGCGGCGUGCUUAAUACAUGCAAGUCAACUGAAGCAGUGGUAGCAAUAUCGCUGUGGAGGUGGCGCACGGGUGAGUAACACGUAGGUAAUCUGCCUUCAGGUCUGGCAUAACUCCGGGAAACCGGGGCUAAUAGCAGAUGAUGCAGCGGCUCGACAUCGAGACAGUUGUUAAAGCUAUGGCGCCUGAAGAUGAGCCUGCGUCUGAUUAGCUAGUUGGCGGGGUAACGGCCCACCAAGGCAACGAUCAGUAGCUGGUCUGAGAGGAUGAUCAGCCACACUGGAACUGAGACACGGUCCAGACUCCUACGGGAGGCAGCAGUAAGGAAUAUUGCUCAAUGGGAGAAAUCCUGAAGCAGCAACGCCGCGUGAGGGACGAAGGGCUUUUGCUUGUAAACCUCUGUAGUGAGGGAAAAAAAUCCCAAUCUUUGGGACAUGAUGGUAUCUCAAAAGUAAGCCCCGGCUAACUACGUG
RNAcentral lists this ribosomal RNA (481 nucleotides) under uncultured bacterium. RNAcentral describes it as "partial 16S ribosomal RNA". It matches the Rfam family "Bacterial small subunit ribosomal RNA", at positions 28 to 507 of the family's 1533-position model. The record is from RNAcentral.